Molecule: long non-coding RNA, 7810 nt
Organism: Alexandromys fortis (reed vole)
Lineage: Eukaryota; Metazoa; Chordata; Mammalia; Rodentia; Cricetidae
Exons: 2
Source: RefSeq, a predicted model, not a curated record
CUCAGAGAUCCACCUGCCUCUGCCUCCAGAGUGCUGGGAUUAAAGGCCUGCGCCACCACUGCCCGUCUACUACCAUUUUCUAAUAAUGUCAUGAUAGGAUUCCAUCAAUGCAUCAAUGAGUCCUGGUAGUCAAUCAGUUUCCGGAUGCCCCACCCCUGGACUUUGUUGCAGUGGGAAUCAGGCCUUCAACAGGUGAGCCUUUUGGAGGAACACUUUAUAUUAAAACAGUGACAAAGCCAAAGUGACAGGGAGAACUGUAAGAGAGUCUGGGUCACAACACAGCCAUAGCUGUGUCCUUAAAAAUAAGCAAACCACAGGAGAAAACACUGGGAAGAUAAGAGCCAGGCAGAUCCCCGAGCUCAUUGGCCAGUCCACAUAGGCUACUUGUUCUCCGGUCUCACCAUGCACACACACAAACCUGCACGCAUGAUCAUUGGCCUAUGAACACACAUACAUACAAAGAGCAAAUAUCUAAGUAGUAAACAUUUUCAUUAAAUAUAAGUUCAGUCUAGUACUCUAUAAAAAGUAACAAGUGAAAUUUUAAAAAAUAAUUUAUUUAGUUUGUGUGUAUUGGUGUUUUGCCUGCAUGUGUGUCUGUGUGAUGAUGCCAGGUCCCCUGGAGCUGGAGUUGUAAUAUGACAGUUGUGAGUGUCAUGGGAUUGAACUCAGGUCCUCUAGAAGAGCAGCCAGGACUCUUAACUGCUGAGCUAUCUCUCCAGCCCCAUGAGUGAAAUUUUAUAGAAUGAGCAUUCUUAGACUCCCAAAGAAGUUAACAGGUAAUUGGUAUGUGAAAACUUAUUAGGAUCCCAAAAACGUGCCAAUUUAGCUAGUGAUGGUGGCACAUGCCUUUAAUCCCAGCACUAGAGAGACAGAAGCAGGUAUAUCCCUAUCAGUUCUAGGCCAGUCUGUUCUACAUAUUAAGUUCCAGGCCCACCAGGGCUACACAUUGAAACCCUGUCAAUUAAUUAAUUAAUUAAUAUUCAUUAUUAUUAAUUAAUAGCCAGGGAAGAAAUGUAGUUCAAUGGUAGAGCUGUUUUAAAAAGGGGGGGGAUUUAAUUGGGCCAUGGCAGUGCACCUCCAGAUGCAUCCCAGCCCUCAGGAGACAGAGGCAGGCAAUCUCUAAGUUCGAGACCAGCCUGGUCUACAGAGUGAGUUCCAGAACAGCCAGGGCUUCACAGAGAAACCCCGUCUCCAAAAACAAAAAGUGUGUGUGUAUGUGCCUACCUGUCUGUCUGUAUCUGCCUGUCUGCAGGGGCCAGAAAUGAGUCUGUCUGGAGCUGGAGUUACAAGUGCUUGUGAGCUGCCCAGCGGCAUAGAUUCUGGGAAUUGAACUCAUGUCCUCUGGAAGAGCAGUAUAUGUUCUUAACUACCGAGCCAUAAUCUCUCCAGCCCAGGUAGAGCUCUUGUCUAAAUGUGGAACAAGGCCCUAGGUUCAGUCCCCAGUACAGCAAAAUAUUAAAAUGAAAAAUAACGGUUUGGGACUGGAGAGGUGAGUCAUCCACUGAGGACAGUUGAUGCUGUUUUUGUUUGGUUUGUUGUUUGAGACAGGGUCUUUCUGUGUAGUCCUGGCUGUUUUGGAGCCAGGCUGUCUUUGAAUUCACAAAGAUCCCCCUGCCUCUACCUCCUGAGAACUGGGAUUAAAGGUGUGCACCACCAUGCCCAUCACACUCGCUACUCAUGCAGAGGACCUGGAUUCAGUUCCCAGUACCCACAGUGUGGUUCAUAACUCCAGUUCCAUGGGAUUUGACACCCUCUUCUGGCCUCUGUGGGUACCAGGCACACAUGUGGUACACAUACAUAUGUGCAGGCAGAGUACUCAUUACAAAAAAAAAAGCAUUCAUAGUAGCACAAAUUGGACAACUAGUGCUUUCCAGGUCCACUCAGCCAUGCAGGACCAGAGCUACUGCCUAAGCACCAGACUCUGUGCACUGAGUGGCUGGCAUGAUCUCAGCCCCUCUAGCAUGACAAUCUCUAUUGUUGACUCUGCGCUCUUCAACUGGCGCAGUGGUUCUCCACCUUCCUGCUGUGGAAUAUUAGUUGAGGGUGGGUUACAUUCGUUUAUGCCGUGGAACAUUGGCUUAGUGAUGUAAAGUUGUGUUGCAUUCUUUUGGGUUGCAUUUGUUUAGCUCUGUGAAGCUGUGUUACUGCGCCUGUUUAAAACACCUGAUUGGUCUAAUAAAGAGCUGAAGGGCCAAUAGCUAAGCAGGAGAGGGCUAGGCGGGGCUGCCAGGUAGAGAGAAUAAAUAAUAGGAGGAGAAAUCUAGGCGGAGAAGAAGCAGGGUUUAAGAAAAGGAGAGGAAGCCGGGCAGUGGUGGCGCAGGCCUUUAAUCCCAGCACUUGGGAGGCAGAGGCAGGCGGAUCUCUGUGAGUUCGAGACCAGCCUGGUCUACAAGAGCUAGUUCCAGGACAGGCUCCAAAACCACAGAGAAACCCUGUCUCGAAAAACCAAAAAAAAAAAAAAAGGAGAGGAGAGGACCCCAGGGACCAGCCACACAACUAGCCAUGGAGGAAGAAGGGAAGAAAGACCAAAAAAGGCAAAAAGCCCAGCAGCAAAACAUAGGUAAUUUAACCAGGUUAAUUUAAGUUAGAAGCCGGGCGAUGGUGGCGCAUGCCUUUAAUCCCAGCACUCGGGAGGCAGAGGCAGGCGGAUCUCUGUGAGUUCGAGACCAGCCUGGUCUACAGAGCUAGUGCCAGCACAGGCUCCAAAGCCACAGAGAAACCCUGUCUCGAAAAACCAAAAAAAAAAAAAUUUGUUAGAAAAACUGGCUAGAAAUGAACCAAACUGGGGGCUGGAGAGAUGGCUCAGUGGUUAAGAGCAGUGGCUGGCUGCUCUUCCAGAGGUCCUAAGUUCAAUUCCCAGCAACCACAUGGUGGCUCACAACCAUCUGUAACGAGAUCUGGUGCCCUCUUCUGGCCUUCAGGCACACAUGGAGGCAGAAUGUUGUAUACAUAAUAAAUAAAUGAAUCUUUUUAAAAAAAACAGUUUAUAAUCUCUAUAAAAAAGAAAAGAAAAAUAAAUAAGCCAAGGUAAGGCUGAGCAUUCAUAAGUAAGAAUAAAUUUCCGUGUAUUUAUUGAGAGCUGGGUGGCAAACACCCAAGGAGUAAAACAGCCAACUAUACCUUCCUAAUGCUGCAACCCUUUACUACAGUUCCUCAUGUUGUGGUGAUCCCCAACCAUAAAAUUAUUUUUGUUGGUACUUCAUAGCUAUAAUUUUGCUACUGUUAUGAAUCAUAAUGUGAAUAUCUGUGUUUGCUGAUAGUCUUAGGGGACCCCUGUGAAAUGGUUACUUUAUCUCCCCAUAGGUCACAACCCCAGUUUGAGAACGGUUGUAGGAAGCCACUUGUUCAUUUUCCUGCUGCCCACACUCCUGAAAUAAUCACAUAGAAACCAUAUUAUCUGUAAUACUGUUUGCCCAAUAGCUUAAGCAUAUUCCUAGCUUGCUCUUAUGUCCUAAACUAGCCCAUCUCCAUUAAUCUGUGUAUCACUGUGACUGUGGCUUACCGGGUAAAGUUCCGUCCAAUGUCUGUCUCUGGUGGGGCUACAUGGCAUCUCACUGACUCUGCCUACUCUCUCUAUAUCUCUUCCAGCCUGGCUAUAUUCUGUUAAGUCAUUGGCCAAAAGCAGCUUCUUUAUUAACCAAUAAAAGCAUAUACAGAAGGAACUUCCCACACCAGAGAACCACUGCUCUCAGGGACCCAGAUGAAUAAAACGUGUGUACAAAACUGUCAUAAUGAAACCCAUUGUCUUGGAUAAUUACUAUAUGCUUCUAAACAUGGAGUGCCCAUCAAAGAUGAAUGGAUAGACAGCAGAGAUUACUAGUGAUGUAGCUUAGUGAUAGAACAUGCUUGGUGUGUGAGAGGCCAUGAGGUCAUUUCCCAGUAUUUCAAAUGAAUGGAUGAAUGAUUGAUAAGUAAAAAGUUAAAAGUUGCCAUCAACCACCAAAAGGAAUGAGACAAGGGGUCAAAUCUCCCUGGAGCCCACAAACUCUGGUCUCCGGAGCAAUGAAAAAAAAUGUGAUCACUGACAUAAGCUUUGUUGUUCCCGGAAUCCAAUACUGUGCUCCUCAGAUUCUGAGCUGGUUUGUUUGUUACGGAGCUGCAGGUGAAGCCCCAGCUUCCCACAUGUUAUGCAAGUAUCCCCUGAGCUGUUCCUCUUGGCCCCAAGUUCUUUAAGCCUUGAGUUAUGUUGCAAGCGAGACUUCAGAUGAAGAGAGAACACUUAUAUUUUCAAACAAAAUCUGGAGGAAAUAUUUCCUAUCUAGAACUCACCAGACUGAGAAGUUCAUUUUUUUGUUGUUGUUGGUGGUGGUGGUUUAUAGUCAUCAGCAUGCAAAACUUUUUUUUGUUGUUUUAUUCUUUGGCAUUUUCAGAUAGGGUUUCACGAACCCCAAGCUGGUCUCAAACUCAGUGUAGCUAAGGAUGAACUUGAGCUUGAUCCUCUUUGGUGUAUUACAGGCUUUCACCACCAGACCUGGUUUUACGCACCAACUAAGUCACACCCCAAGCCCUGCACGAGGGUAUUAAGGAACAGCCUCUGGGCAUAAAUAACAUCUGGGGCACCACCUGUGAAAUGCUUUUGGUGUCAAAGUUAAGUCCCCAGUGUAGGUGUCAAGACUUUGCAUUUGGUGAGCUCAAAGGUUGGAGCACUAUUCUCACUGUUUUGUUUUGAGACAGGCUUCCUCUGCAAUCCAGGUUGAUCUUGGACUUGUGACAGUCUCCUGUCUCAGUCUUCUAAGUGCUGAAGUUACAAACGUGAGCUACCGUGCCAGCUCUUCCAACAAUACUUUGUCCCAGAAGUUACCUUGAAGAAAUUCUUGGGUGUGAACCUUGUCUAAUGAAUCCACUUGUUCUCUAAAUGGAUCUGCGGGGUGUGUAGAGGAGUCCAGCUAACUUGGAUUAAAUGAGCUAGACCUUUCAAAAAAAGAGAGAGAGAGAGACCUUGAACUUCACCAUUUCUGUUGGCACAAAGGAAGCCAAGAAUUUGGGUGGUUAAGGGGCAGAGCUAAGAAUCAGAAACAGGCCUGGUGGUGGUGGUGGUGGUGGUGGCUGCGGCAGCUAUGGCGCAUGCCUUUAAUCCCUUAAUCCCAGCACUUGGAAGGCAGAGGCAGGUGGAUCUCUGUGAAUUUGAGACCAGCCUGAUCUACAGAGCGAGUUCUAGGACAGUCAAGGAAAAAAGGAUUUGAGACAGCCUAGUCUACAGAGCUAGUUCCACGGUAGCCAGUGCUACACGGAGAAACCCUGUCUCGAGGAAAAAUAAAAAGAGGAGGGUGAGUAGGAGGAGACAAAAGGAAGAAGAGAAGAAGCUGAGAACCAGCUCCUGGAGAAGGCUCUAGAGCAAGGCCCCUACUUCAGGACAGCAGGGCAUCGACUGCUCCACCUGCUCCUGCUUCAAAAACAAAUUUUAUUUUACAGUGGUGGGGUUCAAACCAAGGACCUUGUACAUGCUGAGCAGAUAAAUGCUAUACCACUGAACUACAUUGCUGGUCCCAAAAUGUUACCUAGUCCCCUCUCCGUUUUCUGUGAGCCAGGGUAUCACUAUGUAAAUCCGGCUGAUUUCAAACUCCGAAGAGGUUCCCCAGCUUCUGCCUCCCUAGGAUCAAAGGCCUGCACCACCACACCUGGCUCAUUUCAUUUAUUAAAUCCAGCCUCCUAAAUGCAGGGAUUAGAGUGUCUACCUCCAGGCCAGGUUCAAUAUGUUCUAUGCCUAUGAUUAAUUUGUCACAACUAAGAAACCCAACACUGAUUGGCACAUUAACUGAACCCAGGCUUUAUUUGGAGUUGCCGAUUUCCUCACCAGCGUCGCUGUUCUGUUCCCGUUGCCGGCUCAGUCAAGGUGAUAUACUACGUUUAGGCUUCUCCUUUGUCCCUUGUGGUCUGUGACGGCUUCUUAGCCUUCCCUUGCUCUCUCUGGCUUCAUUUUGAAGGAAUGAUGUCCCAUUUUAUAGAAUGGAGUAUUUCGUAGAAUACUCCAGCUGGGCUCAUCAUGUAGUCCAGGCUUCAGACUCCAGUUUCCCAAGCACUGAGAUGAUAUAAUCGCAAGCAUGUGCCACCAUACCUGCCUUCCGUUGGCCUGCUGCUCUCUGUAGAUGAGGGUGAGAGGGUGACUCAGGCUUUCUUACUGAAGUCUGGUACAUGGCACUAAAGUGACUGAUGUCCACUUGGGUCACCUGAUUUGAAGUGGUAUCUACCAAGGUGGUCCACUGUCCGUUUACCCGUUCCCUCUUCCGUCCUCUGCUUUGGAAGCUGUCUACAGCCCACAUUUCAACCCCAAGGGAGGACUGUGCCCUUCGAAGACCCUUGUGUGCAUCUACACCCGGCAGAGAUGCUUAGACUCUGGCCUUCCACCUGUGUGGAGCACUCAAUGAAAUGAGAAGCCAGGGGGCCUGUAAGGGUCUGUAUCUUGCAGGGGGAGAUCUAGACGGUGUACUCUGGUGGACUGUUUAUGCUCACGGCCCUGCUCUUCCUGCCUGCUAAGGUCAUCUAACCCCUCCACACAGCGACGGCUCUCCUGUCUUGGAUUCCACAGACCAGCUUGGAUUCCACAGAGCAAAUCUGGGCCACAGAGUUCUGCUUUUCUAGAUUAUGAAGUCACACAUUCACAAUGCAAGUGGGCAGUCCCUGGCUAUACAUUCCUGUCUGGUUAUUCUCUCAUUCCAUGGAAGGUUAUUUCAUAUCCCUUUUAAAUUUUUUCUUUUAUGCGCACUGGUGUUUUGCCUGCAUGCAUGUCUGUGUGAGGGUGUCAGAUCUUGGAGUUACAUUGUGGGUGCUGGGAAUUGAUCCCGAUCAUGCCUUUUUUUUUUUUUAAACCUAUCACUCUAUACCACUAAAAUGGCAAUCAAGCUGAGGGUCCUGUGCAAGCCUGUGCUCCCAGCACCUGAGAGGAAGAGGAAGGACCCUAGUUUGAGACCAAUCUAGUUCAAGGUCAGCCUGCAGUACAGGCUGAGUAUAGUCCAUUGUGACUGUAUGCUUGACCAGCUGUUUUCCAGGGCAGAAACAGAGGAGAGGCAAAAGACCCUGCUCCCAAGCACACUUGUAGCCCUCGGUCUUCUUCCUUGUCUGCUCAUCCAAGAACAUGUUCCUACAAGUAUUCAAUCACCUGCUUCAUAAUAAAUCUUUUGGAACAGUAAUAUUUUUACACUAGUAUUCCUUUAAAAAUGUUUGUGAAUGUAUGUAUGUGUGGUAUGUAUGUGUCUGUGUGUCUGUAUGUCUGUGGUGUGUCCACUUGUGAGUACAGAUGUCCACAGAGACAAGAGGGUGCUAGAUUUCCUGGAGCCAGAGUUGCGGGCAGUUGUGAGACACUUCAUUUGGGUCCUCUAUACGAGCAGUAUGUUCUUUUAACCACCGAGCCUCAUCUCCAACCCCACAAUGGGUCUUAACUGUACCCGAAUGAGAUCUACAUCUUGUGGGCCACUAUCUCUUUCUAUACUUGAGUUUCACUGUUUCCCUCCCUCUCCUCGCUUGUGCAGAGCUUAUGAGGCCCUUGUCUGAAGUCCUCAUCUUAGGUAGCAUAGGUUCCCCCUCCUCUCGUUCCUGGUUCCCUGUCUCUGAAGGCUCUUCCUCUGCCUCUGUGUCAGGUACCAGGUUGGCAUCCCUGUACGUGUUUUCAUCUACUACCCCUACCGAGCUGCCAGAUACAUCUUACCCAGGCCCUCGGCUUUGUAAACACAUGAGAAAAAUGUGGGCCGGGCCGUGGUGGCGCACGCCUUUAAUCCCAGCACUCGGGAGGCAGAGGCAGGCGGAUCUCUGUGAGUUCGAGACCAGCCUGGUCUACAGAGCUAGUUCCAGGAUAGGCUCCAAAGCUACAAAGAAA